GGCCCAGUUAACUGAAUUUAGGGACCACAAGCUUAUAAGAACAAAGAAGGGAACUGAUGGAGUAGAGUAUUUAUUAAUUCCUGUUGAUAAUGGAACAUUGACUGAUUUCUUGGAAAAGGAAGAAGAGGAGGCUUGAAGCUUUCCUUUAUUCUUGAAUCUCCCAUGGAAGGGUUGUACCCCAGCUGCCACUCCUCUAGUUGAAAGUGUUGUGUUUACAUCUGACAUUAAAUUAUUUUUCCAGCAUACAAGAUUUAAAUUUGGGAAGGGGGGGAUGUCCUCAAUUAGAACUUUUUGAUCAGCCUGGCUGGUACCGUCUAGUACUAUGCAGCGGUCCUCAAGUUGGAGAAAAUGUGCCUUUCAUUCAUUACCUCUCUGGAGACUUCUUGCUGGAAUGAACAGUGUGCUCAGGGACUAUUUGGAACUGGAUGUUUUUGAAUUAUUUUAUACUUAGAGAUAUUCUGAAUUUUUUGAGGGCCUUUUAACACUCCCCGAGCUGAUUGUUUGCAAGUGUGUUUGUUCCAGAGUGUGGAAGUAUAAAGACAUGGGCAUCACGUAAAUUGGUUUUGUUUGCUAUUCUGUGUGUCAGAACCAACGAGUGUAAUGGAGAGGGCAGGUCAUCUCUUAUUGUUUCUAAAACAACUUAAAAGGUGUAGAUUGGGAAGAGGUGAGUGAUCCAGCUUUCUCCUUUUGGAUUGAGGCUAUGUACUUGGUGGGGGCAGGGGAGGGAAUAUAUUAUAAUACUAUUCAGUUGGGAUAAUGGGAAAAACAGAGUAUAUAGGGUAUCUACCCAGCCUAGAAAGCACAGGAACAAUACGUCAUAUAUUUGGAACAGUUAUUGUCUGUGCCAUGACCUUCAUGAUACCAGUGAGAAGCCAGGCUAGAGAAAUAAAAUCCUGA
Molecule: long non-coding RNA, 897 nt
Filed under: Homo sapiens (human)
Lineage: Eukaryota; Metazoa; Chordata; Mammalia; Primates; Hominidae
Description: HSALNT0045787
Source: RNAcentral